RNAcentral lists this ribosomal RNA (140 nucleotides) under Candidatus Endolissoclinum sp. TMED37. RNAcentral's name for it is "partial 23S ribosomal RNA". It matches the Rfam family "Bacterial large subunit ribosomal RNA", at positions 2776 to 2925 of the family's 2925-position model. Lineage: Bacteria; Pseudomonadati; Pseudomonadota; Alphaproteobacteria; Rhodospirillales; Rhodospirillaceae. The record is from RNAcentral.
AGCAUCUAAGCGGGAAACUCACCUCAAAACUAGUUCUUCCCAUAGAGCCGUGGUAGACCACCACGUUGAUAGGCUGGGUGUGGAAGUGCGGCAACGCAUGUAGCUGACCAGUACUAAUAGCUCAAUCGGCUUGAUUUAUG